UAUCAACUGACCUAGCAGACACUUGCCGAGAUGAUAGAUUAUUUCUUUUAGGAGAAAAUUAUG
Molecule: non-coding RNA, 63 nt
Filed under: unclassified sequences
Source: RNAcentral